AAGACGGUCUUGCUGUCACUUAUAGAUGGAUCCGCGCUGCAUUAGCUAGUUGGUAAGGUAACGGCUUACCAAGGCAACGAUGCAUAGCCGACCUGAGAGGGUGAUCGGCCACACUGGAACUGAGACACGGUCCAGACUCCUACGGGAGGCAGCAGUAGGGAAUCUUCCGCAAUGGGCGAAAGCCUGACGGAGCAACGCCGCGUGAGUGAUGAAGGUCUUCGGAUCGUAAAACUCUGUUAUUAGGGAAGAACAUAUGUGUAAGUAACUGUGCACAUCUUGACGGUACCUAAUCAGAAAGCCACGGCUAACUACGUGCCAGCAGCCGCGGUAAUACGUAGGUGGCAAGCGUUAUCCGGAAUUAUUGGGCGUAAAGCGCGCGUAGGCGGUUUUUUAAGUCUGAUGUGAAAGCCCACGGCUCAACCGUGGAGGGUCAUUGGAAACUGGAAAACUUGAGUGCAGAAGAGGAAAGUGGAAUUCCAUGUGUAGCGGUGAAAUGCGCAGAGAUAUGGA
RNAcentral lists this ribosomal RNA (510 nucleotides) under Staphylococcus aureus. Its description in RNAcentral is "bacterial SSU rRNA". It matches the Rfam family "Bacterial small subunit ribosomal RNA", at positions 202 to 702 of the family's 1533-position model. Lineage: Bacteria; Bacillati; Bacillota; Bacilli; Caryophanales; Staphylococcaceae. The record is from RNAcentral.